ACGAACGCUGGCGGCGUGCCCCAAACAUGCAAGUCGAGCGGGGUUCUGGAAGUGGGCGACCACGGAAGGGACCUAGCGGCGGACGGGUGAGUAACGCGUGGGUAAUCUGCCCAAGGGACCGGGAUAACACCUCGAAAGGGGUGCUAAUACCGGGUGACCCUGGUGCUCCGAGUGGGGGACCAGGGAUAGGUGGCCUCUUGACAAUGCUACUGCCCCUUGGAUGAGCCCGCGUCCCAUUAGCUAGUUGGCGGGGUAAAGGCCCACCAAGGCGACGAUGGGUAGCCG
Molecule: ribosomal RNA, 285 nt
Filed under: uncultured bacterium
Lineage: Bacteria
Description: partial 16S ribosomal RNA
Rfam family: Bacterial small subunit ribosomal RNA
Source: RNAcentral